UACGGAGGGGGCAAGCGUUGUUCGGAAUUACUGGGCGUAAAGCGCGUGUAGGCGGCUUAUCAAGUCCUGUGUGAAAAGCCCCUGGGCUCAACCCAGGAAGUGCGCAGGAUACUGAUGAGCUGGAGUAGCGGAGAGGAUGGCGGAAUACCCGGUGUAGAGGUGAAAUUCGUAGAUAUUGGGAAGAACACCGGUGGCGAAGGCGGCGACCUGGUCCGAUACUGACGCUGAGGCGCGAAAGCGUGGGGGAGCAAACAGG
RNAcentral lists this ribosomal RNA (256 nucleotides) under uncultured bacterium. RNAcentral describes it as "partial 16S ribosomal RNA". It matches the Rfam family "Bacterial small subunit ribosomal RNA", at positions 524 to 776 of the family's 1533-position model. The record is from RNAcentral.